GGUGGUACUUUUGGUAGAGUACAUGUCUCACAUGCACGAGGCCCUGGGUUCAAUCCCCAGCACCACCA
RNAcentral lists this transfer RNA (68 nucleotides) under Ictidomys tridecemlineatus (thirteen-lined ground squirrel). Its description in RNAcentral is "Spermophilus tridecemlineatus (thirteen-lined ground squirrel) tRNA". It matches the Rfam family "tRNA". From Rfam's summary of the family: Transfer RNA (tRNA) molecules are approximately 80 nucleotides in length. Their secondary structure includes four short double-helical elements and three loops (D, anti-codon, and T loops). Further hydrogen bonds mediate the characteristic L-shaped molecular structure. tRNAs have two regions of fundamental functional importance: the anti-codon, which is responsible for specific mRNA codon recognition, and the 3' end, to which the tRNAs corresponding amino acid is attached (by aminoacyl-tRNA synthetases). tRNAs cope with the degeneracy of the genetic code in two manners: having more than one tRNA (with a specific anti-codon) for a particular amino acid; and 'wobble' base-pairing, i.e. permitting non-standard base-pairing at the 3rd anti-codon position. The record is from Rfam by way of RNAcentral. Lineage: Eukaryota; Metazoa; Chordata; Mammalia; Rodentia; Sciuridae.